GUCAGUGAUAUGAUCUUUACUGAGAAAAUGAACCACAUUGAGAGAAGGCGCUCUGAUGUGAAGGUGGGUGCUCUGAUGUGAAAGUAGGUGCUCUGAUGUGAAGGUAGGUGCUCUGAUGUGAAGGUGGUGCUCUGAGGUGAAGGUAGGUGCUCUGAUGUGAAGGUAGGUGCUCUGAGGUGAAGGUAGGUGCUCUGAUGUGAAGGUGGGUGCUCUGAGGUGAAGGUAGGUGCUCUGAUGUGAAGGUAGGUGCUCUGAGGUGAAGGUAGGUGCUCUGAUGUGAAGGUGGGUGCUCUGAUGUGAAGGUAGGUGCUCUGAUGUGAAGGUAGGUGCUCUGAGGUGAAGGUAGGUGCUCUCGGGUGAAGGUAGGUGCUCUGAUGUGAAGGUGGGUGCUCCGAGGUGAAGGUGGGUGCUCCGAGGUGAAGGUAGGUGCUCUGAGGUGAAGGUAGGUGCUCUCGGGUGAAGGUAGGUGCUCUGAUGUGAAGGUGGGUGCUCCGAGGUGAAGGUGGGUGCUCCGAGGUGAAGGAGGGUGCUCUGAGGUGAAGGUAGGUGCUCUGAUGUGAAGCUAGGUGCUCUGAGGUGAAGGUGGGUGCUCUGAGGUGAAGGUAGGUGCUCUGAGGUGAAGGAAGGUGCUCUGAGGUGAAGGUAGGUGCUCUGAUGUGAAGGUAGGUGCUCUGAUGUGAAAGUGGGUGCUCUGAGGUGAAAGUGGGUGCUCUGAGGUGAAAGUGGGUGCUCUGAGGUGAAAGUGGGUGCUCUGAGGUGAAGGUGGGUGCUCUGAGGUGAAGGUGGGUGCUCUGAGGUGAAGGUGGGUGCUCUGAGGUGAAGGUGGGUGCUCUGAGGUGAAGGUAGGUGCUCUGAGGUGAAGGUAGGUGCUUUGAGGUGAAGGUAGGUGCUCUGAGGUGAAGGUAGGUGCUCUGAGGUGAAGGUAGGUUCUCUGAGGUGAAGGUAGGUGCUCUGAUGUGAAGGUAGUUGCUCUGAGGUGAGGGUAGGUGCUCUGAGGUGAAGAUGGUUGAUCUCAUGUGAAGGUAGGUGCUCUGAGGUGAAGCUGGGUGCUCUGAGGUGAAGGUAGGUGCUCUGAUGUGAAGGUAGGUGCUCUGAUGUGAAGGUAGGUGCUCUGAUGUGAAGGUAGGUGCUCUGAGGUAAAGGUAGGUGCUCUGAGGUAAAGGUAGGUGCUCUGAGGUAAAGGUAGGUGCUCUGAGGUAAAGGUAGGUGCUCUGAGGUGAAGGUAGGUGCUCUGAUGUGAAGAAGGUAGGUGCUCUGAUGUGAAGAAGGUAGGUGCUCUGAUGUGAAGGUGGGUGCUCUGAGGUGAAGGUGUGUGCUCUGAGGUGAAGGUGGGUGCUCUGAGGUGGAGGUAGGUGCUCUGAGGUGAAGGUAGGUGCUCUGAGGUGAAGAUGGUUAAUCUGAUGUGAAGGUAGGUGCUCUGAUGUGAAGCUGGGUGCUCUGAGGUGAAGGUAGGUUCUCUGAGGUGAAAGUGGGUGCUCUGAUGUGAAGGUAGGUGCUCUGAUGUGAAGGUAGGUGCUCGGAGGUGAAGAAGG
Molecule: long non-coding RNA, 1532 nt
Filed under: Salmo salar (Atlantic salmon)
Lineage: Eukaryota; Metazoa; Chordata; Actinopteri; Salmoniformes; Salmonidae
Description: lncRNA (ENSSSAG00000102986.1)
Source: RNAcentral